CCUGGUGGCUCAGACGGUAGAGCGUCUGCCUAUAGUGCAGGAGACCCAGGUUCUAUGCCUGGGUCAGGA
Molecule: transfer RNA, 69 nt
Filed under: Ovis aries (sheep)
Lineage: Eukaryota; Metazoa; Chordata; Mammalia; Artiodactyla; Bovidae
Rfam family: tRNA
About the family: Transfer RNA (tRNA) molecules are approximately 80 nucleotides in length. Their secondary structure includes four short double-helical elements and three loops (D, anti-codon, and T loops). Further hydrogen bonds mediate the characteristic L-shaped molecular structure. tRNAs have two regions of fundamental functional importance: the anti-codon, which is responsible for specific mRNA codon recognition, and the 3' end, to which the tRNAs corresponding amino acid is attached (by aminoacyl-tRNA synthetases). tRNAs cope with the degeneracy of the genetic code in two manners: having more than one tRNA (with a specific anti-codon) for a particular amino acid; and 'wobble' base-pairing, i.e. permitting non-standard base-pairing at the 3rd anti-codon position.
Source: Rfam by way of RNAcentral